This is a non-coding RNA of Anneissia japonica, 73 nucleotides long. Lineage: Eukaryota; Metazoa; Echinodermata; Crinoidea; Comatulida; Comatulidae. The record is from the annotation of a RefSeq genome assembly.
UUUUUCGUAGUGUAGUGGUUAUCACGUCUGUUUUACACGCAGACGGUCCCUGGUUCAAGCCCGGGCGAAACCU